UACAGAGGUCUCAAGCGUUGUUCGGAUUCAUUGGGCGUAAAGGGUGCGUAGGCGGCGCGGUAAGUCGGGUGUGAAAUCUCGGAGCUUAACUCCGAAACUGCAUUCAAUACUGCUGUGCUUGAGGACUGGAGAGGAGACUGGAAUUUACGGUGUAGCGGUGAAAUGCGUAGAUAUCGUAAGGAAGACCAGUGGCGAAGGCGGGUCUCUGGACAGUUCCUGACGCUGAGGCACGAAGGUCAGGGGAGCAAACGGG
This 253-nucleotide ribosomal RNA is filed under the name uncultured bacterium. RNAcentral describes it as "partial 16S ribosomal RNA". It matches the Rfam family "Bacterial small subunit ribosomal RNA", at positions 524 to 776 of the family's 1533-position model. The record is from RNAcentral.